CGGGACGGGUGAGUAAUGUCUAGGGAAACUGCCUGAUGGGAGGGGGUAACUACUGGAAACGGUAGCUAAUACCGCAUAACGUCGCAAGACCAAAGAGGGGGACCUUCGGGCCUCUUGCCAUCGGAUGUGCCCAGAUGGGAUUAGCUAGUAGGUGGGGUAACGGCUCACCUAGGCGACGAUCCCUAGCUGGUCUGAGAGGAUGACCAGCCACACUGGAACUGAGACACGGUCCAG
Molecule: ribosomal RNA, 234 nt
Filed under: uncultured bacterium
Lineage: Bacteria
Description: partial 16S ribosomal RNA
Rfam family: Bacterial small subunit ribosomal RNA
Source: RNAcentral